Molecule: small nuclear RNA, 107 nt
Filed under: Tursiops truncatus (common bottlenose dolphin)
Lineage: Eukaryota; Metazoa; Chordata; Mammalia; Artiodactyla; Delphinidae
Source: RNAcentral
GUGCUCGCUUCGGCAGCACAUAUACUAAAAUUGGAAUGAUACAGAGAAGAUUAGCAUGGCCCCUGCACAAGGAUGACACACAAAUUCGUGAAGCGUUCCAUAUUUAA